Molecule: ribosomal RNA, 253 nt
Filed under: uncultured bacterium
Lineage: Bacteria
Description: partial 16S ribosomal RNA
Rfam family: Bacterial small subunit ribosomal RNA
Source: RNAcentral
UACAGAGGUCCCGAGCGUUGUUCGGAUUCAUUGGGCGUAAAGGGUGCGUAGGCGGCGGGGCAAGUCUGAUGUGAAAUCCUGGGGCUCAACCCCAGAACUGCAUUGGAUACUGCCUUGCUAGAGUACUGGAGAGGGAACUGGAAUUUACGGUGUAGCAGUGAAAUGCGUAGAGAUCGUAAGGAAGGCCAGUGGCGAAGGCGAGUUCCUGGACAGUGACUGACGCUGAGGCACGAAGGCCAGGGGAGCAAACGGG